UGGGGUAUGGUGUAAUGGUAACACGGCUGAUUCUGGUUCAGUUGUUCUAGGUUCGAGUCCUGGUACCCCAG
RNAcentral lists this transfer RNA (71 nucleotides) under Boudabousia liubingyangii. RNAcentral's name for it is "Actinomyces liubingyangii tRNA". It matches the Rfam family "tRNA". Rfam says of the family: Transfer RNA (tRNA) molecules are approximately 80 nucleotides in length. Their secondary structure includes four short double-helical elements and three loops (D, anti-codon, and T loops). The record is from Rfam by way of RNAcentral. Lineage: Bacteria; Bacillati; Actinomycetota; Actinomycetes; Actinomycetales; Actinomycetaceae.